Molecule: ribosomal RNA, 440 nt
Filed under: uncultured bacterium
Lineage: Bacteria
Description: partial 16S ribosomal RNA
Rfam family: Bacterial small subunit ribosomal RNA
Source: RNAcentral
CCUACGGGAGGCAGCAGUGGGGAAUAUUGCACAAUGGGGGAAACCCUGAUGCAGCGACGCCGCGUGAGCGAAGAAGUAUUUCGGUAUGUAAAGCUCUAUCAGCAGGGAAGAAAAUGACGGUACCUGAGUAAGAAGCUCCGGCUAAAUACGUGCCAGCAGCCGCGGUAAUACGUAUGGAGCAAGCGUUAUCCGGAUUUACUGGGCGUAAAGGGAGCGUAGGCGGCCUGCCAAGUCUGAUGUGAAAUACCGGGGCUCAACCCCGGGGCUGCAUUGGAAACUGGGUGGCUGGAGUGCCGGAGAGGCAGGCGGAAUUCCUGGUGUAGCGGUGACAGGCGUAGAUAUCAGGAGGAAUAACGUGAGCGACGGCGGCAAUCUGGCUGGAAACUGACGCUGAGGUGCGAAAGCGUGGGUAGCAAACAGGAGUAGAUACCCUUGUAGUC